UCUAUGGCUCCUACUCGCUGAAAAUGGGUGCUCAUAUAAAUUUUUCUAUUGAUUUAGGAUGGUCUUGAAGUGGGUGUUUUUGUUGGUUUAUUGGAGCCAUAUAGCUGCAUCUGAAGAUAAAUCGCCACUUAAUUCAUCUACAAAAAAUCAAAGGAUUCAUUUGAUGGAUAUAUCAAUGAUCUGCCACAAUUUUACGAGCUCAACUGAUAUCACUAUUUGCUCUCAAGAAAAAGAGAUAUCCUCAAAAAUCCUGCAUGGUUUCCCUCUUGAACCUGUUAUACUUCUCAAGGACGAAUUCGACGCACGGAAAAUACAUGGAAUAAUUAGAGAACUAUUUGACAGCCUGAUUGGAGCUCACUUCCAGGGAGAAUUCAAUUUGUCCUGCAAUGCAGAAUGCGUUCACGCGAGCGGACACAAGGUGUGCUCUUGCUUCAACUCCAGCCUGGAUAAAAACGAGGACACCUCUCUUGCCAAUCACAACUCAACUCCAGACAGUUCAACAUCAGGAGUGUACUUGAUAUUUCUGGAGUCUGGAGGUGACUCGAACCGACCCUCUACCGGGGCAACUCUCGAGCCGCGAAAUUCCCCCCGAAGAAGACCCAGAUCGUCCUGCGGUUGCGGGCUCGGAAGCAUGUUCAGCACUCUUUUCGGGAGCAGAAGUCGAAGGAGACUUACCAACUCCCAGCGGGGUCAGUUGGGGUCGCAUGGUAGCCGCUCUGCAGGGAGUCGCAGAAGCGAGAACAAUCCACCUCCACCUUUACCUUUGCCUCGGAGAAACCAGCACCAGCAAUGGGUGGGCACAGGUGGACAUGGAGCUGAAUCUCCUGAUACGGUUGUCGGUGCUCGAUUUUCAACCCCUGGUGUAUCACCCUCACGGCUCUCACCCUAGGCCGCAUCCGCGGGUGAAACGAACUCCAGCGGGUCGAUUAUUGAAAUUGUGUAUUUGUCGGGCGGACAUUAUGAUAUAGUUAUAGUUAAACGGUGGAUUGUGUUUGGUCGGCUAUGUUUCAUCGCUGCUUUGUAUUGCCUUCGUCAGGUGGAAUAGACGACAUACUGUGUCGGGAACUGAGGUGCCUUUAGCUUGUCGUGAAUUCCACCUGACAGAGGCACGACAGAGCAGCGAUAAGGCAUAGUCGACCAAGCACGCUCCGCCGUUUAACCUACGUCCGCCAGACAAACACAAAAUUUCAAUAAUCGGCCCGCAUUACUACCGUGCAAUGAAAAAACGCCAUGUGAACCUUUGUCCGCUGCGAAAUUUCCUUGGAGUAAAUACGAAUUUUCAGGAGAACAUGUGAAUGUUUACCGUUUAAUUUUUCAGAGAAUUUUCUUUGUAGUUGUAUAUAAGUCAUUGGAAAAUUCUAAGAUGUCGACGUAGGUGUGUUCGGGGGUCAAUCGAAAGAGGAAAAUGCCUCUAAGCCAUAUCUGGACUGCAUUUUGCAAUUUGGACCUAUAAAUUCUGGCUCAUCUGAAAAAACACUUAUGUGCAUAGGGAAACUAAUGGCACAUACGUUGUUUUUAAACCGGGCCGGAAUUUAUAGGUCCAAAUUACAAAAUGCAGCCCAUCUGUCGUGCUAAGGGAAAACGCCGUAUAAGCCCUCAGGCGUUGCUAAAUUUUCUUCGAUGAAAUACAAGUUUCCUGGAAAACUUGUGAAUAUUUUUCUCCCAAUUUUUUACAAGAUCUCACUAAAAAAUUAAUCUACAGUAUCCGAAAAAAAGAGAAGAUAUUCGUAACUCUCCUCAAAAAUCAACAUUUCAUUGGGGGAAAUUUGGCAACUCUGGAAUGUUCAUCCGACGCUUAUCCACAGCACGGUAGAGUAGUACUUUUCCAGUAUGAAACAAAACGCAAGGAAAUGGAGAACCGAGGCUAAACACAAACAGAAUGCCUGGGACGUUGAGGGUGUUUCAACCCCCUAGAAACAAAAAUGUAAAAAUAAAAAUAUUAAAUGUAAUUAUUUUCCUUGUUACCUCCGAUGUGAGUCUGAAGGGCUUUUGAUUUUUAUUUUUGUUGCCGGGUCGAGAAGGGGGUUGAAACCAUCCCGAAACGUUUCAGGCGUUCUGUUUGUUUUUAGUUUUGGUUUUCCAAUUUGUGUGUGUGUUUUUUUUUGUCAAAUCAUUCCAACUAUUUGCGUGUAUCAUUUUUAUUCAGUAUAUAAGUAGAAUAUUAGUAGAUGCUCUAAGAGGUUGCGUAAAUCGGAGUCUUCAAGCUUAAUGUGCUGUGUUUGAAUAUACCAUUUUGCUGCAGUAUAAGGACUGAAGCUAUGUUGAAACAAAAUACACCGCGGAGAUACUUUGCUGCGGCGUAACUUCAUAACAAUACUCAGAUGAUGGUGUGUGGUGGCAUUCACGGUACCAGCUAUAAAGUCCCCAGUUUUGAUAAUCAUUUCUACGUAGCGUCUUAAGGUUUUACCCUCUCUACGAUCCUCUCACAUUUAUUUUCCUCGGCUUUACUGAAAUAAUGUGAUCGAACUUUGCAGAUAAAAUUUUUUUGUGCAUGUUCUGCGGGCAAUUUUUUUGUCUGUGGCAUCAUUCUUAAAAAAAAGUAAUGAUAAAAUAAGUAGUUGUGCCCAUUGAUCAGUUUUUUUUUAUUCAAAAUCCUAUCUUCCAAACGCUUUCAUGACUACGCAAGUGAGUAAUUUACUCAUUUUUUGAUAUAUUUCGAUUUUUAUUAUUUUUAAGGUCAAAUGUGUAAUUUAACUUUUUGCCCAAUG
This 2708-nucleotide long non-coding RNA is filed under the name Bemisia tabaci. RNAcentral describes it as "lncRNA ENSASIAIIG007853". Lineage: Eukaryota; Metazoa; Arthropoda; Insecta; Hemiptera; Aleyrodidae. The record is from RNAcentral.